CCUAACUAGCUGUUUGCACAUGAAAUUGUUUCAUGUGAUUAGGCAGGUAACGGCCCCGUAGAGCUGCACGUCUAUAUUUUACACAGUAAACAGAAGCCCUGAAGCCAAUCUCCCUGACACACACUCCUGAUUUACACCCUGAGCCAGGCAGAUAAUUACAUUUCAGUUUGAUAUAUAAAAAGCAGCAGGGGAAGCUUAUGAAGAAUUAGCCCAGCUUUCUGCAAUACCUGCCUCUCUUCAUCAGCUUAACAAAUUCCUGCCAUUUCAACAGAGGAUCCACGCUGGGCAUUAGAGUGAACACAAAUCCCAGGGGCUGCUAUGCCUUCUUCCCAGGUAGCCUCAGUCCCAGGGCCCAGCAAGGCCGAGGCCUGUGGCAGGAUGGGAGGCAGAGGUCUCCUGUGACAUGAAAAAAUUGCUUCCCCACGAGCAUGUGUCAGAUCUUUCGAACCAAGGUGCAGCUAACAAGACAAUCAUGUCCUGACACAGCUAAAGCAGCCACUAGCGCAGUCCGUGAAUAAAGAGUUUGACACUGACUGUAACAUUUAAAGAGAAAUCUCUCUCCAAUCCACUAGCACUAGUCACUGGCAGUGAAAUCUUGAUGGAAGUCUCCUGGUUCAUUCCUGUCAUUACAACUUGCUUGUUUCCACUGUGUAUUUGUCUACGGCUUCCAGAGUUAUGGAUGUUAUUAAGUUUGGAUAUUUUUAUGGACUCACCCACUUACAGUGUACAAGCAAAAUAACCCUUUGUUCUAAUUUAGUUUUUUUCUUUCCCUACUUCCCAUCAAGCAAUUGCUAAUAAAUGACCAAAUAAAUGCAUUCAGAUUGAGCCAUAAUGGAGAGAAAUGCAGUGUCCAAUGAACGGAUCAUUUGCACCCCAAGACUGUAAAGAUGAAUUAUGGUGACACUUCUUCCAAAGUCCUUUUAGUUUAAAAUAUUUCUCCUUGGGAAGAAACAAAAAAAAAGCGCAACAUAUGGAUUUUACCGGGAAGGAUGUGAACAUGCACGAAACAGAACUGUCACAGCCAAAAUUGCUUCAUAUAUCAUAGACCAACACCAGGCAGAUAAUGGCAAACCACUUCUGAUCAGGGAGUGAUUAUUAUUGCUGAUUCCAAGCAUGAUGCACAGAGCAGACAGGCUUACAGCUUGAUUUUCUUAAAUUGGGCUGACCUUGCAGCGUUGAGAUUCAUAAUGGGUUUGCGUUGACCGGUAAAAUAGGGUGGCAACAUGAUGGAGAAGUUAUAAAGGAAGUCAAUCAUCUCUCUUCUCUCUCUUGCUUUCCUUUUUCAAAUGAGAGUGUCUCUUUUCAUGUCUUUGUUGAAGGUGUGCGUGGUAGCAACCUGUGUUCCUGUCUGCUACUGUUGGCUUUCAAAUUAUCCCAAAAUUACCCUUCCCCAAUGGAAAUGUGUGGUCAGAUGAGUUAUCAGAACUCAGGCAUUGGCAAAAAUGGGAAGUGGAGUGGGGGAAUUAUGACUGGAUCAUUUAUUUUAAUGCCAGUCUGUUCUUCCCUGGAUAAUCUGAUGUGAUAUUCAAACGUCAGCAGUUUUCUGUAAUAUGCCUUUUUUUUAAUUUGUUUCGCUAAUGAAUGAAGAAAAGUUAUUAAUACAGAACCCAGAAGCAGCCUGAUGCAAAUGACUCAGGAGUGGCAUGAGUGUGUGUGUGGGGGGGGGGGGAUGAAUUACUGAAUGCUGAGCCAGUCUGGUUAGUGCUGUCUGCACUGGGCGGGAGCCCAUCACGUAUGAGAGUCUGAUGAUGAUUUCCAUAGUGACACAGGAAAGAAAGAGCAAUGUAAUCAAAUAAGAGAGCACCUGGUCUUGGGGAAACAACCACUUAGCAGGGACUCAGAAGAUCUGCAUUGAAGUCCUGGCUUUGGCAUAAACUCCCUGUAUGACCUGGCCAGGGUGCUGGGACAAUUUAAAUAAUGGGGGUGCUGAGAGCCAUUGAACCAAACUGUAAACUCUGCAUAUGAUGGAAACCACUUCACGUCAGGGGAUGCAGCAGCACCCCUAGUUCCAGCACCUAUGUCUUGAGCAAGUUAUUUAAUGUGUCUGUCCCAGUAUCCUGUCUAUACAAUGGGGUAAUAAUUCUUUAUUUAUUAAUAAUACUUUAAGGAUUCUUAAUAAUCCUUUCUUCCAACUUUUGUCUAUUUCACUUGUAAACUCUUUAAGGUGGGACAGCCUCCCACUAUGUACAGUACCUGCCACUAGGAGGCCACUAGAUACUAUUUUAAUACAAAUUAACAACAAAUGCUAUGGCUGGAGAUUGCUAAACUCUGAACAUUACAACAACAUGUUGACAUUUCAAACUGGUGGUGCUGGCAGAGACAGGAUACUGAGCUAUAUGGACCACUGGUCUGAUCUCGUCUGGAGAUUGCUAUGUGCCUAUGACAAGCAUCUCAUUCUUAAAGAACAAGGUCCUUUCCUGGAAGAGCUGACAUCCCAAAGAAGAGAAUGCAGUACCUCCCAACAAGAAGUUCAAGGGCUCAAACUGCUGCCCAACAGCCAAAUAAGGCCACCAGAAUCCUCCUGAGAACAUUUGCCCUUUGGCUUGCCCUCUCCAUGGAUCUGAUCUUGCAAAGUGCUUCUGGACACCUCAAUCUCCCACUGCUCAGCAUCUUGUCAGGUGGGAUCUGCAGAGGGUGAUAAGGAGAAAGCUGAUCAGCUUCAGGUUUCUUUUGUUGGUGGGCAAAAACAAGCAGCAAGGUUUUUAUUUAAAAUACAAGGGAAAGUUUGAGUGAAAGGUGAGAUGGUAGGAUGAAUGUGUGCACGGGAUUUCUGGUCCCCACUCCCAGUCCUUUGGGCUGAAUCCCCAGCUGGC
Long non-coding RNA from Dermochelys coriacea (leatherback sea turtle), 2813 nucleotides. RefSeq lists it as uncharacterized. The record is from RefSeq and is a predicted model, not a curated record. Lineage: Eukaryota; Metazoa; Chordata; Testudines; Dermochelyidae. The transcript has 4 exons.